RNAcentral lists this unclassified non-coding RNA (344 nucleotides) under uncultured bacterium. RNAcentral describes it as "contains 16S-23S intergenic spacer region". The record is from RNAcentral.
UGCUCGGCCUGAUCGAGCUUAUUUCCGAGGUGGCUAAGCUUAUUUCCCUGAGCUUCCGGCUCUUCGGCAAUAUCUAUGCCGGUGAGGUGCUCCUCGUCGUCUUUGGUACGCUCUUGCCGCUCUUUAUCCCGCUGUCGGGCCCCUUCUACUUAUUAGAGGUCUUCGUUGGGCUGAUUCAAGCGUUCGUAUUUGCUAUGCUGACUAUCGUGUUCAUCAAGAUCGCUACCAUCGAUCCACAACACUGAUGGUGGUGAUUCGUAUAGGUAAUUUAACUAAGGAGAAUCAUGGAAGUUGAUGCAGCCAAAGCACUGGCCAAAGGCCUCGCCCUGAUUGCCCUUCUCGGC